UGGAUGGCGAGCGUCGGCUGAUACCUGAUUGUAGCGACGGCGCAACGUGGCGGUGAACGGUGGUGGUGACGAAGACAGGGCAGCGACGGCGCCUCAGCUCCCAGAUCUGGCACCUUUCCCUCUCUCUCCGAGUUUGCUCACUGUUCGGCCUUGGCUCCGCCCACGAGCUCCUCCGACUCCGAUCUCUUCCCUCUUACUCUGGCCAGAUCCAAGCCUCCACCGGCCGGAUCUGACCUCCUCGGACUCGCUCGCCGGCGACCUCCCCCGAAGUCUCUCGGUGGGAGGUCAG
RNAcentral lists this long non-coding RNA (289 nucleotides) under Eucalyptus grandis. RNAcentral describes it as "long non-coding RNA (EGRA_LNC004015)". The record is from RNAcentral. Lineage: Eukaryota; Viridiplantae; Streptophyta; Magnoliopsida; Myrtales; Myrtaceae.